Long non-coding RNA from Dromaius novaehollandiae (emu), 2829 nucleotides. RefSeq lists it as uncharacterized. The record is from RefSeq and is a predicted model, not a curated record. The transcript has 10 exons. Lineage: Eukaryota; Metazoa; Chordata; Aves; Casuariiformes; Dromaiidae.
CGUACGUCGCUGAACUCCUGAAGUCAGCGGGGACAUGCCAGGGUGGAUGUUAGCUUGAAAGACUGGCUCUGCAGUGUCCUCUCUGACUGACUACAAGGAAAUCUGUGCCUGGGUGUGAAAAGCGGGACCGGUGCUCAGAGUCCAAUCCUGUAGAGGUAUGCGGAGAUGACUGCAAAGUCCUGAGCAGCCUCACCUCUUGCGGAGACCCUGCGCGCUCCUGUGACAUGCUCAGCAUUGCUGCUGUGCUCAGCUUUACCCCGCACACAGCUGUCUUGACCCUGCUGCCAUCUGAUGCUGCUUUUCAAAUUGCUGAAGUCAAAUUAGGAGUGCCUGGUCAUCAUGUGCAGAGCCACAGGCAGUGCUGGGAUCCGUCCGAACCUGAGCCUGCGGUGCUGCCGCUGGCUGGGAAGCUCCCCGCUCCUCUGGCUCCAGAGGCAUCCUCCCAAAACCACGGUGGUCCCGAACACGGUGGAAGGAGGGAACAGACAAAGAUUCAGCGUUGACAGGGGUUGUUCUGAAUGUAACAGGAUCCCAUGGCAGAUGGAAACCAGACUCCAGGCAUUUGCAGUGUUUUUCACUGAGGAGGCCCUACAACCAUUGUCUUAGAGGAAUUUCCUCACUAGCAUGAGAUCCUUGUUGGAUGAGGACUUCGCAGUGCACCUUCAGGGCUGUCCAGUCACGGGGGAGUUAUGUCCUCUGCCAGUGUGGAGAUUGUCAUCCCUGAAAAAACUCAUGGGACAUUCAAGGCUCCUUGUAGCAGUCCUCUCGUCCCACCCUCCCCUUGGCUGAUGAGAUAGCUGUAUAAGAAGAUGGCCUUGUGCUUGAGACAGAGUCUAUGUGGUCACCACUUGGAUAUCAGAUCAUUAUGACAGAGGAGAGGCUACUUCUUCAUCACUAAAGGUGACUCACAAACAGCAUCACUCUGGGAAAGUUAGAAGUGAUAAUUUGAUAAGACUCAAGGAUCGUGUGGGACUCAAAAAGGGAUAAAACAACCUUGCGUGAGGCUCUCUCUCCUCUGUCUCCUAGCGAUGAAUGAAGCUGGAAAACCUGGUCAAUUCAGAGCUGACAAAAAGUAAAACAUGAUCAUGUCUCUGUGAAAUACUCAGGUAGCCUGGAAUUCACUGCCCCUGGAUGUCAUCAAGGCUGAGAGCUGAGCAGAGUUCAAAAGGAGGUUCGACGUUUGUAUGGAUAACUUUAUUCAGAAUUGUAGGAAUCUUUUUUAAAAAAAAAAAAAAAAAAGAACAAAUCAACAAUGCCCUCUGAAGAGGUCUGAGAGCAUCUUUGGUGCCUGCACCAGCACUUGGCUGACCCUGAACUAUCAGAAGUUAGGAAGAAAACUUCCUGCAAUGGUUUUGUCAGACCCCUCUGCCUCAAAACAGUCUAGGUGUUGGUGUUUGCAGCGUGAGCACAGAUAACCAUCCCCUGGGACAACCCAUUUCUGUGGGACUGGGAUCCAGCUCUUCAGAUCGAAGGUCACUGAGUGCUGAGACCAACUGGUCUGAUCCAGGCUGUUCCCUCUGCAUGGCAGAGAAGGAUUUUCCCCCUGCUCAAGCCCUCCUCACCACUUGCUUAGAGGGCUCAGGCUUCUCCCUGGGGACGACUGAACUUCAGGUCACCAGAAGCAGCACAUCCUCAGGAUCUUUCAGGGCCACAUCCACGUUUCCUCAGGAGCCCUUUAACAAGGCAGCUGGCAUCAGACAGCUCAGUUCCUGUGGUCAGCAAGCUGUCUGGGGAGUCCAUGCACUGCAGAAUUGAGAGUCGCGCACCAGAGCAGUGAGUGUCACCUUGUUGCCCUCUUCUGAUGGAAAGACUGCUUCACCCCUGCCUCAGUGACAUCUGGGAGAAACAUCCUCGGGCCCAGCUUCGCAUAGGACAGCUGUUGCUCCCCACAGCCCCCUUUGCCCACUGUGCUCUUUUCCAGGAGAGGCUGAGAGAGUGUGAUCUUAGACUUGAAAGAAGGUAAUUUGAAUUGGAUGUGAAGUUGUUACUAAUUUAAUGUUUAUCCAAUAACAAGGACUUUGCAAAACCCCUUACCUUUUCAUGAGCCUCAGGUAACACUGUCAAUUCAUAAUUGCUAUGAUCCCUUUAUCCUGUGGUUUAAUAAAUAAUUUACUUAAAUUAUUAAAAUGAAAAUUUCAACAUUAUUAAAAAUUAACCAGGUUAAAUGAGCAAACGGUAAAUAGUGCUGGGCUUGUCCUGCGUGACAGGAGUCCACAGCUUUUAUUGUCUUUUUCCCAGGCGCAAAGGGUGUGUUUCUCCCUCCCCCUUUCCCUCCCUCUCUGUCUCUCUCUACUUUCACUGCUUUACUCUCCUGUCUUUCACAAACUCCUCUCCAUUUGCCUUCUGCAUCCCCUCCUCUCUUUGACAUUCGUCUUCUUCACAGCCUGUUCUUUUAUCUCAAUCUCUUCUCCUCCACUACUAGUUUACUCUUCCUUCCAUGAACCCUCUCCUUCCCAUGCCAUAACUCUAGUCAUCUGUGCUUUCUUCUCCACAUAGUACAUCCAUUGCAUUCUGAUCUCUGUCGCCUCUUUUUGCCAUGACUCCAUUCUUUCCCCUCUUCCAGUCUAUUAAGCCUACCCCAGCUGGUGUUGCAAGUGUGCCUUGGUCAGACCCUGUGUAUACCUCAUCAUUAUGUUGUUUUGUGCACACAUAUGUAGCACAAGAUGCCUGAUGGGCCUUUUUGUGCUUUCUGUCUUUGAUCCGUGGCUAACAAUCCCAUCUGAUGCCAGAAAGACUUAGAUCCAGGUGAACACAUGAUCUCCAAAGAGCAGAGAGUUUGCCAGGUCUUGAGGAUAUGAGCUGCCUCCAUUCAUGAAAAAUUUAUUAAAA